Molecule: ribosomal RNA, 274 nt
Filed under: uncultured bacterium
Lineage: Bacteria
Description: partial 16S ribosomal RNA
Rfam family: Bacterial small subunit ribosomal RNA
Source: RNAcentral
AUACGGAGGGGACAAGCGUUAUUCGGAAUCACUGGGCGUAAAGGACGCGUAGGCGGGUUAUUAAGUCGGGUGUGAAAUCCAAUGGCUCAACCAUUGAACUGCAUUCGAAACUGAUAACCUAGAGUAUGGAAGGGGCAGGUGGAAUUAGUGGUGUAGGGGUAAAAUCCGUAGACAUCACUAGGAAUACCGAAAGCGAAGGCGACCUGCUGGGACAUUACUGACGCUGAGGCGUGAAAGCGUGGGGAGCAAACAGGAUUAGAUACCCCGGUAGUCC